UACGGGGGGUGCGAGCGUUGUCCGGAAUCACUGGGCGUAAAGGGCGCGUAGGCGGUUUGAUAAGGGUGUGGUGAAAGUCCGGGGCUCAACUCCGGAUCUGCCGUGCCGACUGUCAAACUCGAGGACUGUAGAGGCAGACGGAAUUCCGGGUGUAGCGGUGGAAUGCGUAGAGAUCCGGAGGAAGACCGGUGGCGAAGGCGGUCUGCUGGGCAGUUUCUGACACUGAGGCGCGACAGCGUGGGGAGCAAACAGG
This 253-nucleotide ribosomal RNA is filed under the name uncultured bacterium. RNAcentral's name for it is "partial 16S ribosomal RNA". It matches the Rfam family "Bacterial small subunit ribosomal RNA", at positions 524 to 776 of the family's 1533-position model. The record is from RNAcentral.